CCUCGCAUUCCCCUUCAGUCGUCGGCACAAGAGCGGUAGCCUUGGCCGCCCGCGGGUUUCCUGUGUUGCAUACCCACCGAAGGGUAUUCGGUCGUCGCAAGGAUGGACGUUCCCCCGUCGCCGUGCCCCCACGCAAGGGGGCGUGGCGUGGGGCGAACCACGAAGGCGGCCUCGUGCGUCCGGGACGGCGUCGACCGACGCGUCCCGGCCCACGACGUGCCGCCUGAGCUCUCGGAUGCAGUGCACCAGGAGGGCAGGGGGUCGCUCGACGACCUCCGUUUUGCCCGAACUCGGCGUCAAUCGCCCGCACCGAACGACCGCCGUCGUCGUCUCGGGACGUCGCGCCCCUCGUCGGGCCCGUCGGCCCCGUGCGACGCCGGCGUCGGUUA
Molecule: unclassified non-coding RNA, 389 nt
Filed under: Euclinia squamifera
Lineage: Eukaryota; Viridiplantae; Streptophyta; Magnoliopsida; Gentianales; Rubiaceae
Description: partial external transcribed spacer
Source: RNAcentral